UUCUUGACCUUGUAAGACCCC
RNAcentral lists this non-coding RNA (21 nucleotides) under Arabidopsis thaliana (thale cress). Lineage: Eukaryota; Viridiplantae; Streptophyta; Magnoliopsida; Brassicales; Brassicaceae. The record is from RNAcentral.